Molecule: long non-coding RNA, 492 nt
Filed under: Manacus vitellinus (golden-collared manakin)
Lineage: Eukaryota; Metazoa; Chordata; Aves; Passeriformes; Pipridae
Description: lncRNA (ENSMVIG00005009447.1)
Source: RNAcentral
CUUUAAAUGUUGAAUGAAAAUCAAGCUACAGGAUAAAUCCAAGCAAAACUGGUAAUAAUUUCUGGUUUGGCUUGUAGGUGGAGUUGAAUACAAUGUGAUUAACUACAAGCAAUAUGUUGUGAAGAUGAUGGUAUUCAGACACAUACCCAAACAAUUUGAUUCAGAUAAAUUGGAUACAAGACUUUGACCAGCACGAGAAGAACAGGCACUGUGCAAGCAGGGAGCAUCCCAGACCCGUGGAGGAGCUCAGCAGGAGAAGAAUCAGUGGGGGAAAAUAGUCCUAAUGCUGUGUUGCUGCUGGUGGGUCAGGCAGUUUGAACAGAGGUCUGUGGUGCUCCAGCUCGUUGGGAACUUCUGUGCUCAGGCCAGGAGGAUGCUACAGAUGGAGCUGAUCUGUGAGUAAGUUUCUGGAGGCCAUUAUGUCUCCUACAGUUUUGGUUUGUUUUUUUUUUCUAAAGGAGCCAUUGCUCUGUCCCUGUCUGUGUGUGAGGG